Salvia hispanica is the source of this 133-nucleotide small nucleolar RNA. RefSeq annotates it as small nucleolar RNA snoR74. The record is from RefSeq and is a predicted model, not a curated record. Lineage: Eukaryota; Viridiplantae; Streptophyta; Magnoliopsida; Lamiales; Lamiaceae.
UAGAAGGCAGGAUGAUUGUCCUUUAAUAGUGAUCAAUUUUCUCCGUUUGUCAGGGAUAUUAGAGGGAGUCAUUGUUUUUGGGUGAACCUCAUUAUCUUCUUUGUAAUGUGGUUCAGUAAAUGAUGAUACAUCU